UACGGGGGGGGCAAGCGUUGUUCGGAAUUACUGGGCGUAAAGCGUGCGCAGGCGGUUUGCUAAGACAGGUGUGAAAUCCCCGGGCUUAACCUGGGAACUGCGCUUGUUACUGGCAAGCUGGAGUGUGGCAGAGGGGGGUGGAAUUCCACGUGUAGCAGUGAAAUGCGUAGAGAUGUGGAGGAACACCGAUGGCGAAGGCAGCCCCCUGGGCUAACACUGACGCUCAUGCACGAAAGCGUGGGGAGCAAACAGG
RNAcentral lists this ribosomal RNA (253 nucleotides) under uncultured bacterium. RNAcentral's name for it is "partial 16S ribosomal RNA". It matches the Rfam family "Bacterial small subunit ribosomal RNA", at positions 524 to 776 of the family's 1533-position model. The record is from RNAcentral.